Molecule: ribosomal RNA, 710 nt
Filed under: uncultured Comamonadaceae bacterium
Lineage: Bacteria; Pseudomonadati; Pseudomonadota; Betaproteobacteria; Burkholderiales; Comamonadaceae
Description: bacterial SSU rRNA
Rfam family: Bacterial small subunit ribosomal RNA
Source: RNAcentral
GGCGAACGGGUGACUAAUAUAUCGGAACGUGCCCAGUCGUGGGGGAUAACGUAGUGAAAAUUACGCUAAUACCGCAUACGAUCUAAGGAUGAAAGCGGAGGAUCGCAAGACCUCGCGCGAUUGGAGCGGCCGAUAUCAGAUUAGGUAGUUGGUGAGGUAAAGGCUCACCAAGCCAACGAUCUGUAGCUGGUCUGAGAGGACGACCAGCCACACUGGAACUGAGACACGGUCCAGACUCCUACGGGAGGCAGCAGUGGGGAAUUUUGGACAAUGGACGCAAGUCUGAUCCAGCCAUUCCGCGUGCAGGACGAUGGCCUUCGGGUUGUAAACUGCUUUUGUACAGAACGAAAAGGUCUCUAUUAAUACUAGGGGCUCAUGACGGUACCGUAAGAAUAAGCACCGGCUAACUACGUGCCAGCAGCCGCGGUAAUACGUAGGGUGCAAGCGUUAAUCGGAAUUACUGGGCGUAAAGCGUGCGCAGGCGGUUAUGUAAGACAGAGGUGAAAUCCCCGGGCUCAACCUGGGAACUGCCUUUGUGACUGCAUAGCUAGAGUACGGUAGAGGGGGAUGGAAUUCCGCGUGUAGCAGUGAAAUGCGUAGAUAUGCGGAGGAACACCGAUGGCGAAGGCAAUCCCCUGGACCUGUACUGACGCUCAUGCACGAAAGCGUGGGGAGCAAACAGGAUUAGAUACCCUGGUAGUCCACGCCCU